CAGCCACAUCACAUUGAAACACUGGCUCCCGUACGAUCAACAAAGUUAAGCAGUGUCGAGCUUGAUCAAUAUUUAGAUAGGUGACCGCUUGGGAAUACCAGGUGCUGUAA
This is a non-coding RNA of Acanthosepion pharaonis, 110 nucleotides long. NCBI's taxonomy places the organism in Eukaryota, Metazoa, Mollusca, Cephalopoda, Sepiida, Sepiidae. The record is from the annotation of a GenBank genome assembly.